GUGGGGAAUCUUGCGCAAUGGGCGAAAGCCUGACGCAGCCAUGCCGCGUGAAUGAUGAAGGUCUUAGGAUUGUAAAAUUCUUUCACCGGGGACGAUAAUGACGGUACCCGGAGAAGAAGCCCCGGCUAACUUCGUGCCAGCAGCCGCGGUAAUACGAAGGGGGCUAGCGUUGCUCGGAAUUACUGGGCGUAAAGGGCGCGUAGGCGGACAGUUUAGUCAGAGGUGUAAGCCCAGGGCUCAACCUUGGAAUUGCCUUUGAUACUGGCUGUCUUGAGUACGGGAGAGGUGAGUGGAACUCCGAGUGUAGAGGUGAAAUUCGUAGAUAUUCGGAAGAACACCAGUGGCGAAGGCGACUCACUGGCCCGUUACUGACGCUGAGGCGCGAAAGCGUGGGGAGCAAACAGGAUUAGAAACCCUGGUCC
Molecule: ribosomal RNA, 422 nt
Filed under: uncultured bacterium
Lineage: Bacteria
Description: partial 16S ribosomal RNA
Rfam family: Bacterial small subunit ribosomal RNA
Source: RNAcentral